UGCCAGCAGCCGCGGUAAUACGGGGGUCCCAAGCGUUGUUCGGAUUCACUGGGCGUAAAGGGUGCGUAGGCGGCAGAAUUAGUUUGGUGUGAAAGCUUCGGGCUCAACCCGGAAAAUGCACUGAAUACUGUUCUGCUAGAGGGUCGGAGAGGAGACUGGAAUUCUAGGUGUAGCAGUGAAAUGCGUAGAUAUCUAGAGGAACACCAAUGGCGAAGGCAGGUCUCUGGACGAUUCCUGACGCUGAGGCACGAAAGCUAGGGGAGCAAACAGGAUUAGAUA
This 279-nucleotide ribosomal RNA is filed under the name uncultured bacterium. RNAcentral describes it as "partial 16S ribosomal RNA". It matches the Rfam family "Bacterial small subunit ribosomal RNA", at positions 506 to 784 of the family's 1533-position model. The record is from RNAcentral.